UGGUUCAGGAGGAAGGUUGGCGGCCCGUCUAACACAUGCAAGUCGAACGAGCGAGAGAGAGCUUGCCUCCUCUAGCGAGUGGCGAACGGGUGAGUAACGCGUGAGGAACCUGCCUCAAAGAGGGGGACAACAGUUGGAAACGACUGCUAAUACCGCAUAAGCCCACAGCUCGGCAUCGAGCAGAGGGAAAAGGAGUGAUCCGCUUUGAGAUGGCCUCGCGUCCGAUUAGCUAGUUGGUGAGGUAACGGCCCACCAAGGCGACGAUCGGUAGCCGGACUGAGAGGUUGAACGGCCACAUUGGGACUGAGACACGGUCCAGACUCCUACGGGAGGCAGCAGUGGGGAAUAUUGCACAAUGGGGGAAACCCUGAUGCAUCGACGCCGCGUGGAGGAAGAAGGUCUUCGGAUUGUAAACUCCUGUUGUUGAGGAAGAUAAUGACGGUACUCAACAAGGAAGUGACGGCUAACUACGUGCCAGCAGCCGCGGUAAAACGUAGGUCACAAGCGUUGUCCGGAAUUACUGGGUGUAAAGGGAGCGCAGGCGGGAAAGCAAGUUGUAAGUGAAAUCCAUGGGCUCAACCCAUGAACUGCUUUCAAAACUGUUUUUCUUGAGUAGUGCAGAGGUAGGCGGAAUUCCCGGUGUAGCGUUGGAAUGCGUAGAUAUCGGGAGGAA
This 673-nucleotide ribosomal RNA is filed under the name uncultured bacterium. RNAcentral's name for it is "bacterial SSU rRNA". It matches the Rfam family "Bacterial small subunit ribosomal RNA", at positions 20 to 706 of the family's 1533-position model. The record is from RNAcentral.